Molecule: ribosomal RNA, 253 nt
Filed under: uncultured bacterium
Lineage: Bacteria
Description: partial 16S ribosomal RNA
Rfam family: Bacterial small subunit ribosomal RNA
Source: RNAcentral
UACGAAGGGGGCUAGCGUUGAUCGGAAUCACUGGGCGUAAAGCGCACGUAGGCGGCUUUUUAAGUCAGGGGUGAAAUCCUGGAGCUCAACUCCAGAACUGCCUUUGAUACUGCGGAGCUCGAGUCCGGGAGAGGUGAGUGGAACUCCGAGUGUAGAGGUGAAAUUCGUAGAUAUUCGGAAGAACACCAGUGGCGAAGGCGGCUCACUGGCCCGGUACUGACGCUGAGGUGCGAAAGCGUGGGGAGCAAACAGG